This 407-nucleotide ribosomal RNA is filed under the name uncultured bacterium. RNAcentral describes it as "partial 16S ribosomal RNA". It matches the Rfam family "Bacterial small subunit ribosomal RNA", at positions 28 to 526 of the family's 1533-position model. The record is from RNAcentral.
GACGAACGCUGGCGGCGUGCCUAAUACAUGCAAGUAGGACGCAGUUGCGAACGGGUGAGUAACGCGUAGGUAACUACCUAUUAGAGGGGGAUAACUAUUGGAAACGAUAGCUAAUACCGCAUACUAGUAGAUGGACCUGCGUUGUAUUAGCUAGUAGGUAGGGUAAUGGCCUACCUAGGCAACGAUACAUAGACGAGCUGGGAGGGAGAACGGGCACACUGGGACUGGGACACGGGUCAGACUCCCACGGGAGGCAGCAGUAGGGAAACUUUGGCAAAUGGGGGAAACCUGACUGAGCAACGCCGCGGGAGUGAAGAAGGUUUUCCGAACGGAAAGCUAUGUUGUGAAGGAAGCGGUACUUACCCAGAAAGCGACGGCUAACUACGUGCCAGCCGCCGCGGUAAUAC